RNAcentral lists this ribosomal RNA (725 nucleotides) under Phaeoramularia capsicicola. RNAcentral's name for it is "eukaryotic LSU rRNA". It matches the Rfam family "Eukaryotic large subunit ribosomal RNA", at positions 111 to 867 of the family's 3401-position model. The record is from RNAcentral. Lineage: Eukaryota; Fungi; Ascomycota.
AAAUUUGAAAUCUGGCGCAAGCCCGAGUUGUAAUUUGUAGAGGAUGCUUCUGGCCAGCGGCCGUUCUAAGUUCCUUGGAACAGGACGUCAUAGAGGGUGAGAAUCCCGUAUGUGACCGGCGCGCAGCCUUUACGUAGCUCCUUCGACGAGUCGAGUUGUUUGGGAAUGCAGCUCUAAAUGGGAGGUAAAUUUCUUCUAAAGCUAAAUACCGGCCAGAGACCGAUAGCGCACAAGUAGAGUGAUCGAAAGAUGAAAAGCACUUUGGAAAGAGAGUUAAAAAGCACGUGAAAUUGUUGAAAGGGAAGCGCUUGCAACCAGACUUCGUAGCGGUGUUCCGCCGGUCUUCUGACCGGUCUACUCAUCGUCGCGAGGCCAACAUCGUCUGGGACCGCUGGAUAAGACCUAAGGAAUGUGGCUUCCCUCGGGAAGUGUUAUAGCCUGUGGUGAUGCAGCGAGUCCCGGGCGAGGUCCGCGCUUCGGCAAGGAUGUUGGCGUAAUGGUUGUCAGCGGCCCGUCUUGAAACACGGACCAAGGAGUCUAACAUCUAUGCGAGUGUUCGGGUGUCAAACCCCUACGCGUAAUGAAAGUGAACGGAGGUGGGAAGCGCAAGCUGCACCAUCGACCGAUCCUGAUGUCCUCGGAUGGAUUUGAGUAAGAGCAUAGCUGUUGGGACCCGAAAGAUGGUGAACUAUGCCUGAAUAGGGUGAAGCCAGAGGAAACUCUGG